AUGGCGCAGUCACGUCCAGUAAGACAAGUUACUGAAAAAUACAUCACGAGGGUGGAAAAGGAGAAGGACAACUGUUUAAAAACCAAUAAAAUAGUUUCUCUGCAGUCUGAAGUCCAGACUCUCAAAACACAAAUGAAAACGGCCAUGCAGAAACGGAAUCAACUGCAAACUAAACUAUACAUUUAUAAAUAUGUAACUGAGACCCUUCAACAGAAUGCAGAUGGGUUGGUGGAUCAUUUUGACCUUUGUGUACUAGAACAUAUGAAGAUCCAUGAACAGAAGCUACGAGACUGUCAGGAUCACAGCAAGAAAACAACAACAGUAAGUGACCAAAGUGUGGUGCAGCUGACGCACCAACAAGAAAGAAACAGGCUAUUUGGAACAAAGCACAAAGAAACACUAGUUGCUAAGCUGAAAAGAAAAGUAGUCAAUUGCAGAAAACAGAAAACGAAGCCUGACAACUUACUUCCAGGAAAAACAGAGGAAGAAAAAUACUUCAGGUGGUUGGGAAGGAUGCAGAAGGAGACACUUUACUUGCAAAAUGAGCAAUUGUUGAAGGAAAACAAUGAAGAGAUGAGUGAAAUGUUUUGUCUGCAGUCUGAAGUCAAGACUCUCAAAACAGAAAUUGAAAUUGACGAGGAGAAACAGGAGCAACUGAACCCUAAAUUAAAUAUCAGUAAAUCAGUAUAUGAUUGUGAGCACCUUCUCCUGGAUGAAGCUGUUUUGGUUGAAAAGUAUGACUUAAAAAACCAUAUGAUGAACCAAGCCGUACUCUACCCGCCGGUAUAUCACUGUCAGGAUCGCUUCAAGAACAUAAAAAUGUUUGAAAUGAAAAAAGUAAGUGAACAAAUCCUUGAAGCCAAACUGCUCCACAAAGAGGAUGACAAGAAAACGAACCUUGACAACUUACUGAACGAAGGAGAAGGAAAUAUCAUUGCUGAAGAAAAAAAUAAUGAUGAUGCUGCACAACAUGAAAAUAUCGUCAUGUGCGGAAACCUGCAGAGGGAGGUGAAAAACUUGAAGGCGACGAUAACAGCGCUGGAGAAAAAGCAUCUCUUUCAGAAUGUAUUUAAUUUAGAGCAGAGUAACAAAGAACUACAAAGUUCCAAUCGAAACAAAGAUCUGGAAAUAGCUAAUUUAAAGGAAGAAAUACGACUGCAACAGGGUUUCUCUCACGAAAAGCACAUUAAUGCUAUUCAAACUGCUGAGUUCAGCAGAGUGAAGAACAUCAACAAGAGUCUAGAGGAUGUAAUGACGGUGAUAAAGACUGAGUGUGUAUUGGUAAAGUCACAGCUGGUUACGGCAAGAGAAGAGGUUAAACCACUGAAUGAAACUAUCAUUAAACUCAAAGACAAACUCCAGGCCAGUGACGAAGACUUGAUAAAGGAGAAGAACAAAAACAGAGACCUGGAGACCUAUAUUCUGAGGUUCAAGAAAGACUUGGGGGCAUGCAUGGCUGUUUUCCAUAAGGAGAAAAAAUUUAGAAUCAAAUUCAGUGAAGUCCAAAAACGCUACGUGGACAAUGACGAAAGGAUUGUGAAAGAUAAAAACUCUAGCACAGGGCUUUCACAUCAGAAUGCCAGUCUUAAGAAAGUCGUCAGUAAUUGUCAAAAUAUCCGCCAGAAAAACCCCAGGAUGCUGCGACACGUCCCCGCGACAGCUGAAAAGGACUUUGUUGAAUGUGGCAGUAGUUCCCUCCAACAGGCUGUGAAAAUUGCCAAGUUAAAGACAGACCCCAUAGAACCCAAAGUGAUUCUUAAAAAGGCAAAGAAACCUGUAAAUCAGAGGAUAACAUCAUGGAUGAAGAAGAAAAUUAUCCCGAAAAACAACAAAAUUCACCCACAGGUUGCAGAGUAA
Molecule: long non-coding RNA, 1857 nt
Filed under: Cottoperca gobio
Lineage: Eukaryota; Metazoa; Chordata; Actinopteri; Perciformes; Bovichtidae
Description: lncRNA (ENSCGOG00000001275.1)
Source: RNAcentral